UGCAGUCGAACGAAGGCCCGGAGCUUGCUCCGGUCACCUUAGUGGCGAACGGGUGAGUAACGCGUGGGAACCUGCCUAGGAGCGGGGAAUAACUACUGGAAACGGUAGCUAAUACCGCAUACGCCCUCCGGGGGAAAGGCUUCGGCCACUCCUAGAUGGUCCCGCGUCUGAUUAGCUAGUUGGUGGAGUAACGGUUCACCAAGGCGACGAUCAGUAGCUGGUCUGAGAGGAUGAUCAGCCACACUGGGACUGAGACACGGCCCAGACUCCUACGGGAGGCAGCAGUGGGGAAUAUUGGACAAUGGGCGAAAGCCUGAUCCAGCAAUGCCGCGUGAGUGAAGAAGGCCUUAGGGUUGUAAAACUCUUUCGCCGGUGAAGAUGAUGACUGUAACCGGUAAAGAAGCUCCGGCUAACUCCGUGCCAGCAGCCGCGGUAAUACGGAGGGGGCUAGCGUUGUUCGGAAUUACUGGGCGUAAAGCGCACGUAGGCGGUUUAUCUAGUUAGGCGUGAAAGCCCCAGGCUCAACCUGGGAACUGCGUUUAAUACUGGUAGACUAGAGACCGAGAGAGGAUGGCGGAAUUCCCAGUGUAGAGGUGAAAUUCGUAGAUAUUGAGAAGAACACCGGUUGCGAAGGCGGCCAUCUGGAUCGGAACUGACGCUGAGGUGCGAAAGCGUGGGGAGCGAACAGGAUUA
RNAcentral lists this ribosomal RNA (693 nucleotides) under uncultured Alphaproteobacteria bacterium. Its description in RNAcentral is "bacterial SSU rRNA". It matches the Rfam family "Bacterial small subunit ribosomal RNA", at positions 56 to 780 of the family's 1533-position model. Lineage: Bacteria; Pseudomonadati; Pseudomonadota; Alphaproteobacteria. The record is from RNAcentral.